CAGCAGCCGCGGGAAUACGGAGGGUGCAAGCGUUAAUCGGAAUUACUGGGCGUAAAGCGCACGCAGGCGGUCUGACAAGUCAGAUGUGAAAUCCCCGGGCUUAACCUGGGAACUGCAUUUGAAACUGUCAGGCUGGAGUCUUGUAGAGGGGGGUGGAAUUCCAGGUGUAGCGGUGAAAUGCGUAGAGAUCUGGAGGAAUACCGGUGGCGAAGGCGGCCCCCUGGACAAAGACUGACGCUCAGGCGCGAAAGCGUGGGGAGCAAACAGGAUUAGAUACCCCUGUAGUCCCUGUCUCUUAUAC
This 301-nucleotide ribosomal RNA is filed under the name uncultured bacterium. RNAcentral describes it as "partial 16S ribosomal RNA". It matches the Rfam family "Bacterial small subunit ribosomal RNA", at positions 509 to 807 of the family's 1533-position model. The record is from RNAcentral.